RNAcentral lists this ribosomal RNA (468 nucleotides) under uncultured bacterium. RNAcentral's name for it is "partial 16S ribosomal RNA". It matches the Rfam family "Bacterial small subunit ribosomal RNA", at positions 28 to 507 of the family's 1533-position model. The record is from RNAcentral.
GAUGAACGCUGGCGGCGUGCUUAACACAUGCAAGUCGAACGGAAAGGCCCAAGCUUGCUUGGGUACUCGAGUGGCGAACGGGUGAGUAACACGUGGGUGAUCUGCCCUGCACUUCGGGAUAAGCCUGGGAAACUGGGUCUAAUACUGGAUAGGACCACUUCUUGGAUGGUGUGGUGGAAAGUUUUUUCGGUGUGGGAUGAGCUCGCGGCCUAUCAGCUUGUUGGUUGGGUAAUGGCCUACCAAGGCGUCGACGGGUAGCCGGCCUGAGAGGGUGUACGGCCACAGUUGGACUGAGAGACGGCCCAGACUCCUACGGGAGGCAGCAAGUGGGAAUAUGGCACAAUGGGGGCAAGCCUGAUGCAGGGACGCCGCGUGGUGGAUGACGGCCUUGGGGUUGUAAUCUCCUCUCGCUAGGGACGAAGCGUUUUUGUGACGGUACCUGGAGAAGAAGCACCGGCUAACUACGUG